This 696-nucleotide long non-coding RNA is filed under the name Androctonus crassicauda. Lineage: Eukaryota; Metazoa; Arthropoda; Arachnida; Scorpiones; Buthidae. The record is from RNAcentral.
CAGUGCCUAUGAGAUUUUUUUGUUUUUGUUUUGCUUGGUUUGGUUUUGGAAACACGUAGACAUGAGGCAACCUAGAAGUCAGUAUUAGCCUGGUACUUAGCACAGCCAGCAACCCAGAUGGACAGAACAUGUUUUGCAAUAGAGAAUGUGUUUGCUAAGACUGUGAGGAGUGAAGGCAGGAAGCAAGCCAGGGUGCCUGGAGUAAGUAGGCAUGGCCUACUCAACUCAUCCAAAGAUCUACGUCUGAUGGAUGACCACGGGGGUAUUUAAACUGUUUCUUUGACUUUUCCAAUGGAGGAUGUUGGAUAGUGCAGUCAGGGGAAAAUAAAAUAUAUGGAAUAUAGGGGAAUGUCCCCAUUACUAUGGGGACCUGACAGUGAGGAAGAACAAGAGAGCACCACCAUGACACUGAAUUUGUGUAAGGCAAGGCCAGUGCAGACCCAGGAGGUGACUCUUAACUCCAGAUUGCAAGGCUGGAACUCAGGGAGCAGAGCUUGCAGCCUGACUGAGGCCAAGGGCCAGAGGGAAGAAAUCCCUUAACCAAGAGGAGCCAGGUACUCUCUCUGAGUCUCUGUAUUCAUUACUUUCUGACACUGAGAUAAAAUACCAUGGACAAAAGCCACUUAAGGAAGAGACAGUUUAUGUGGCUGACAGUUCCAGAGAGCUAGAGUCCGUGAUAACAGAGACGACCUGGCA